UUGUUGUGAGGCUAGACCUUGCAGUAAUGCAGUUAACACAUUAAGUGUACCGCCUGGGGAGUACGGUCGCAAGAUUAAAACUCAAAGGAAUAGACGGGGACCCGCACAAGCGGUGGAGCAUGUGGUUUAAUUUGACGAUACGCGUAGAACCUUACCUGGACUUGACAUAGUAAGAAUGUUUUAGAGAUAGAACAGUGUCUGCUUGCAGAAACUUGCAUACAGGUGCUGCACGGCUGUCGUCAGCUCGUGUCGUGAGAUGUUGGGUUAAGUCCCGCAACGAGCGCAACCCUCGUCGUUAGUUGCUACAGUUCGGCUGAGAACUCUAACGAGACUGCCUGGGUAACCAGGAGGAAGGUGAGGACGACGUCAAGUCAUCAUGGCCCUUACGUCCAGGGCUACACACGUGCUACAAUGGGGCAUACAAAGAGCAGCGAUACCGCGAGGUGGAGCAAAUCUCUUAAAAUGUCUCCCAGUUCGGAUAGUAGUCUGCAACUCGACUACUUGAAGUUGGAAUCGCUAGUAAUCGUAGAUCAGCAAUGCUACGGUGAAUACGUUCCCGGGUCUUGUACUCACCGCCCGUCACACCAUGGGAGUUGAACUCAUUCGAAGCGGGGAUGCUAAGAUAGCUACCCUCCACAGUGGAUUCAGCGACUGGGGUGAAGUCGUAACAAGGUAACCGUAGGAGAACCUGCGGCUGGAUCACCUCCUU
Molecule: ribosomal RNA, 709 nt
Filed under: uncultured Campylobacterota bacterium
Lineage: Bacteria; Pseudomonadati; Campylobacterota
Description: bacterial SSU rRNA
Rfam family: Bacterial small subunit ribosomal RNA
Source: RNAcentral